AGGGCGGGUUUUGUGUAAAUUUGUUCUUACCAUUCUUACCGGGGAAUUAUAUACCAAACAGAAAUGGAUUACAUUUCAACUAAAACUUAUUCCCUUAUCGUUUUUAGCGGUUUGGAUUUUGAGGGGGGGAGUUUGAUUUUUUAUCAUUUUUAUUUCUAUCGAUAUCGAUAUCGUAUCAUCGAUUAGAAUAGAAUUCGACAAGUGUCGUCUGCCAUCGUUUAGUUUAAAAUUUCGAAAAACUCAGUCAGAGAACAAGAAUUAUAUUGCUAUAGAUUUAUUUGUCUUCGAUCCGUUAUACUGCAUGCUUUUUAGCGGAUUUGAGGCCAGAGCCAUCCAUCGUACCCACACAAUGUGCAAGUUUUUCUUGUGCAGGUGUUAACCUGUCACCAGCAACAAUCUCAGGAUCAUCGUUUUGGAUAAUAAGCAUCCCAUUGCUUUGGAAUACAAUGUCAAUCGAGUUAUGGAUCUCUCUUCUUCCCCUUUUCUUUAAAUUUCCUCGUGUACGCCCAUGUGAAUGUGGGUGUAUUCACGAGGACAACCUUUGUCCCUAU
This is a long non-coding RNA of Daphnia pulex (common water flea), 551 nucleotides long. RefSeq lists it as uncharacterized. The transcript has 3 exons. Lineage: Eukaryota; Metazoa; Arthropoda; Branchiopoda; Diplostraca; Daphniidae. The record is from RefSeq and is a predicted model, not a curated record.